RNAcentral lists this ribosomal RNA (799 nucleotides) under uncultured bacterium. RNAcentral's name for it is "bacterial SSU rRNA". It matches the Rfam family "Bacterial small subunit ribosomal RNA", at positions 8 to 808 of the family's 1533-position model. The record is from RNAcentral.
AGAGUUUGAUCCUGGCUCAGGAUGAACGCUGGCGGCGUGCCUAACACAUGCAAGUCGAACGAGGUAAAUGAGUUGAAGUUUUCGGAUGGAUUCUUAUUUACCGAGUGGCGGACGGGUGAGUAACGCGUGGGUAACCUGCCUCAUACAGGGGGAUAACGAUUGGAAACAAUUGCUAAUACCGCAUAAGCGCACAGUACCACAUGGUGCAGUGUGAAAAACUCCGGUGGUAUGAGAUGGACCCGCGUCUGAUUAGCUAGUUGGUGAGGUAACGGCCCACCAAGGCAACGAUCAGUAGCCGACCUGAGAGGGUGACCGGCCACAUUGGGACUGAGACACGGCCCAGACUCCUACGGGAGGCAGCAGUGGGGGAUAUUGCACAAUGGAGGAAACUCUGAUGCAGCGACGCCGCGUGAGUGAAGAAGUAUUUCGGUAUGUAAAGCUCUAUCAGCAGGGAAGAAAAUGACGGUACCUGACUAAGAAGCCCCGGCUAACUACGUGCCAGCAGCCGCGGUAAUACGUAGGGGGCAAGCGUUAUCCGGAUUUACUGGGUGUAAAGGGAGCGUAGACGGCGAUGCAAGUCUGAAGUGAAAUACCCGGGCUCAACCUGGGAACUGCUUUGGAAACUGUAUGGCUAGAGUGCUGGAGAGGUAAGCGGAAUUCCUAGUGUAGCGGUGAAAUGCGUAGAUAUUAGGAAGAACACCAGUGGCGAAGGCGGCUUACUGGACAGUAACUGACGUUCAGGCUCGAAAGCGUGGGGAGCAAACAGAAUUAGAUACCCUGGUAGUCCACGCCGUAAACG